This 411-nucleotide ribosomal RNA is filed under the name Verrucomicrobiota bacterium. RNAcentral describes it as "Verrucomicrobia bacterium partial 16S ribosomal RNA". It matches the Rfam family "Bacterial small subunit ribosomal RNA", at positions 355 to 776 of the family's 1533-position model. The record is from RNAcentral. Lineage: Bacteria; Pseudomonadati; Verrucomicrobiota.
UGGGGAAUCUUGCGCAAUGGGGGAAACCCUGACGCAGCGACGCCGCGUGCGGGAUGAAGGCCUUCGGGUUGUAAACCGCUUUCAGCAGGGACGAGGCCUUAUGGUGACGGUACCUGCAGAAGAAGCUCCGGCUAAAUACGUGCCAGCAGCCGCGGUAAUACGUAUGGAGCAAGCGUUAUCCGGAUUCAUUGGGCGUAAAGCGCUCGUAGGCGGUCUGUUAGGUCGGCAAGUUAAAUCCGGGGGCUCAACCCCCGUCCGCUUCCGAUACCGGCAGACUUGAGUUUGGUAGGGGAAGGUGGAAUUCCUAGUGUAGCGGUGGAAUGCGCAGAUAUUAGGAAGAACACCGGUGGCGAAGGCGGCCGUCUGGGCCAUAACUGACGCUGAGGAGCGAAAGCUAGGGGAGCGAACAGG